Lepisosteus oculatus (spotted gar) is the source of this 1753-nucleotide long non-coding RNA. The record is from Ensembl. Lineage: Eukaryota; Metazoa; Chordata; Actinopteri; Semionotiformes; Lepisosteidae.
GUCACGUUUGUAGGUACCAUGUUCUAGCUUUCAUGCGUACUGAGAUGUGUCCUUUCAAUGGUGCUGCUCUUUGGCAGAUUAAAAAUGGUUGCAGUCUCUCAUGAUUUGCCUGAUUCAACUGUUUGUGUAUGAAGGUCCUCUGUGUCUGUGUUUUAGACUACUACGGAGGAACUGAAUGAGAGGGUGAAUCUGCAGCAGAGCAGCCCGCAGGAACUACAGAGAGGUACCGUGAGAGAAAGCUGCUGGCAAGGGAAGGGCAGGCUGUGCAGGCAGCUGAGCAGGCACAUGAAGAGGAGCUUCGCCAGCUCAGACACUGGCACAGAGAGAACCGGCUGCGUCUGCCGGUAACAGCCCCCACACACCCCCUUCCUCCAGCACAGGGCCUGAAGUCAGGAAUCUCUAAGUGCAGGGAACAUGAGUGACAAAGCUAGAUUUACAAAAACAAAAAAAAAAGAUAUUGAGUUAUAAGGGCAUCUGGGUGCCAGUACCAUUGUUUCAUUUCUAGGAGGAACUUAAACAUAGAGAUUUAAAAAGGGAUUAUUGUAACAAUACUUUUAACUGAAGCCUAUUUAAUAUCUCAGUGAUGGAAUACUGUAGGUCAUAUUUCAAGAGCACCAGGGCCCUGAUAGUUUGAGAGCAUUACCCUUAAUUAGUACUGAGGUUAUGCUUUUAAUUUAGGUUGCAAAAUGGUGGGUUGUAAAAAACACCAUACAAGAGUAUAAUACACAAGAUAUUAUGUAUGCAUUUGUGAAUGUUGAUAACAGGGAAACUGCUCCUUAUUCCUGUUACCUGGAAAUGUAAGGAAGCUCUUUUCCUGAGCUUGUGGUGAGCUGGUGGUAGCAGGCAGUGCUGAAACUGAGAAUGUGCUGCAGGAGGACGACUGGGCUGCUCCAGGUGAGCUGGAUCACGGCGCUGACAUCACCAGCCCAGAGAGCCUGCAGCCUGGGCACGGUUCUGGACCUGAUGAGGGGCAGGAGGAGAGGAGAACAGGCUUUAUCACCAACGCUGAGAAAGAGAUCUGCUCCUCAGCCCUGGAGCAGGAUGGAACUGAGUCCUCUGUCGGUCUCGGCACCGGAAGGAUCUCCGUCUCGGUCAGCUGGAGUCGGAGAGCUGGGAGCGAGAGGGCGCGGGCGGGGGCAGAGCAGACAGAACGAGCAGCACUGGCGCUGCCUAGAGGCCUGCGUACACAACAGCACAAAGAGGGGCAAAAUGAGCUGAAAACAACGAUUGGUAUCCUUUUUAUUUCAUUAUAAAUGUUUACAACAUUUAAGACAUUUCCAGGAAUAAGAUGCCAGUCUGAGGCUCAGUAUUGUCAGUUAUUAUUACACAACCUGCUAAUUCUUCCUUCUGCCUUAUAAUUUUCUGGAAAUUAUUACUCUUCUGUAAGGUCUUCUUGUCCCUUCUGUUUUUCAUCUCUCCUCCUGUUAUUAUAUCUAUUUCCUUGGUUAUCUAAGGAAUGCCUGAGGCUGGUGUUGCACCUGAAGGGCCUGUGGAGGACGGUCGCCUGUCGCCGUGGGAACCUCUGGCCCUGGGCAGUGAGGCAGUGAGAGAAAGGGGCGACGGCCUGGUACAUCCUCAGGGGCCUCCAGGGCAGGGAAUCAGGGGCAGGGUGUCAGGGCUUUGAAGGGGUGCUGGGAUAAAUAAUGGAUCACAAAUGAAGAGGGUGGCAUGACUUCAAAGGGUUAAUAAAUCAGUGUAUAUUUUGUUUAAAUAGGUUAUGAGAAUAGUUCAGAAUGGUGUGAUUGCAUUUAAG